Molecule: ribosomal RNA, 400 nt
Filed under: uncultured bacterium
Lineage: Bacteria
Description: bacterial SSU rRNA
Rfam family: Bacterial small subunit ribosomal RNA
Source: RNAcentral
UAGGGAAUAUUGGACAAUGGACGCAAGUCUGAUCCAGCCAUCCCGCGUGAAGGAUUAAGGCCCUCUGGGUUGUAAACUUCUUUUCUCUGGGAAUAAAAAGCGGGGUUCUCCUCGCCUUGAAGGUACCAGAGGAAUAAGCACCGGCUAACUCCGUGCCAGCAGCCGCGGUAAUACGGAGGGUGCAAGCGUUAUCCGGAUUCACUGGGUUUAAAGGGUGCGUAGGUGGCUUUGUAAGUCAGUGGUGAAAGCCCGGAGCUUAACUCCGGAACUGCCAUUGAUACUGCUUAGCUUGAAUCAACUUGAGGUGGAUGGAAUAUUACAUGUAGCGGUGAAAUGCUUAGAUAUGUAAUAGAACACCGAUUGCGAAGGCAGUUCACUAAGGUUGUAUUGACACUGAGGC